RNA transcript from Panicum virgatum (switchgrass), 2693 nucleotides. It is a transcript of the gene named mitogen-activated protein kinase 10-like, with no coding region annotated. The record is from RefSeq and is a predicted model, not a curated record. NCBI's taxonomy places the organism in Eukaryota, Viridiplantae, Streptophyta, Magnoliopsida, Poales, Poaceae. The transcript has 10 exons.
CUCUCUCCACCAGCUCCCCUCUCUCUCUCUCUCUCUCUCUCUCUCAUUCCCCCUCCCCGGAGCGCUCGCGCGGACCCACGAGGAGGAGGAAGAGGAGAAGAGGGGGAGAGGGAGGGAGGCAGGGAGCCCUAGCCCUGCCCUGCGCGCCGGCGUCGCCAGGGUUAGGGUCUCCCCCGCGUUCCGUUCCUUGCGCCACCCCUUCGCCGGCUCCCCGCUCUGGCCGAUCCCGCCCGCCCAACCGCCCAGCGGCGCGCGCGCCGACCCGGACCCGGACCCCGCGGCGCGGCGCCGCGCCGGUCAAUGCCGCGUGCCUGACCCUCGGUUUGGGGAUACCUUCCGUUCCUAGCUGCCCUCCCGGUGCGGCCUGACGCAGGAGCUUCGCGGCGAGAUCCGGCUCCCGGCGAGAUGCAGCACGAUCAGCGCAAGAAGAGUUCUGCGGAGGCUGAUUUUUUCACAGAGUAUGGGGACGCGAGUCGAUACAAGAUUCAAGAAGUCAUUGGUAAGGGAAGCUACGGGGUAGUAUGCUCCGCAAUAGAUGUGCACACAGGAGAGAAAGUAGCGAUCAAGAAGAUACAUGACAUCUUUGAGCACAUAUCUGAUGCUGCUCGGAUUCUUCGCGAGAUCAAGCUUCUGAGACUCCUAAGACAUCCGGACAUUGUUGAGAUCAAACAUAUUAUGUUGCCUCCAUCAAGAAGGGACUUCAAAGAUAUUUAUGUUGUUUUCGAACUUAUGGAGUCUGAUCUUCACCAAGUUAUCAAGGCUAAUGAUGACUUGACAAAGGAACAUUAUCAGUUCUUUCUCUACCAAUUGCUCCGUGCUCUGAAAUACAUUCACACAGCUAAUGUUUAUCAUCGGGACUUGAAGCCAAAGAAUAUAUUAGCAAAUUCUAACUGCAAACUGAAAAUUUGUGAUUUUGGACUAGCACGAGUCGCAUUUAAUGAUACCCCAACAACGAUCUUCUGGACGGAUUAUGUUGCAACGAGAUGGUACAGAGCUCCAGAGCUCUGUGGAUCCUUCUACUCAAAGUAUACGACAGCCAUUGACGUUUGGAGCAUUGGUUGCAUCUUUGCUGAGGUGUUAACAGGAAAGCCUUUGUUUCCUGGUAAAAAUGUUGUCCACCAGCUAGACCUUAUGACUGAUCUUCUAGGCACGCCAUCCAUGGAUACAAUUUCUCGGGUCCGGAAUGAGAAAGCAAGGAAGUAUCUAAGCAGCAUGAGAAAGAAAGAUCCAAUCCCAUUCUCGCAGAAGUUUCCCAAUGCAGAUCCUUUAGCAUUGGAUCUUUUGCAAAGGCUUUUAGCAUUUGAUCCAAAAGAUCGUCCAACUGCAGAACAGGCACUGGCUCAUCCAUACUUUAAAGGGCUAGCCAAGGUUGAGCGAGAACCAUCCUGUCAACCAAUCACAAAGAUGGAGUUUGAGUUUGAGCGUAGAAGAGUGACAAAAGAAGACAUAAGGGAGCUGAUAUUCCGUGAGAUAUUGGAAUAUCACCCACAAUUACUCAAAUACUACAUCAACGGCACAGAGAGGACAACCUUUCUGUAUCCGAGUGCUGUCGACCAAUUCAGGAAGCAAUUUGCUCAUCUUGAAGAAAAUAGUGGAAGUGGCCCCGUGAUUCCAAUGGAAAGAAAACAUACUUCUCUUCCUAGGUCUACUAUUGUUCACUCUGCUCCAAUUCCCGUCAAGGAACAACCUCGUAUCGGCACAUCUAGGGAAAAACAUUCAUCUGAUGAGUCUUACAAAUAUCUUCGGGAAACAGAAAAAUAUUCUGGUAAUGUUCCUAGAACUUCACAGGCUCCACAAAGAGUGCCAACAGCGAGACCAGGAAGGGUUGUUGGUCCAGUAAUGCCUUACGAGAAUGGUAACACCAAGGAUCCAUAUGACGCACGAAGGUUGGCAAUGAACUCAGGAUACCCUCCGCAACAACAUAUCCCACAAACAUACGGUUAUUAUCAGACACCUGGCAAGCCGGCUUGUUCUGAGCCGUUGCAGGCUGAAAGGUACACACUGCAUCAGCAGGCCUACAGCACAACUGUGUCUGAUGUUGCUCUGGACAUGAGAGCACCCCCUUUUCACCAUCCAUCGGCAGGGACGAAAAGUGACUCUUCUGAUAGGCUAACAGCAGAUACGAACUUGUACUCGAGAUCGCUCAAUGGAAUCGCUGCUACUGCUGCUGGAGUGGCAGCAAGUGCUCACAGAAAGGUUGGCGUUGUUCCGUUCUUCCGUUCGGCAUGUCAAGGAUGUAUUAGUGGCUGAAUCAUGGCGAGUCCUACAUGCCUUGAUGGAUCUCUGCUGGCCUAUGGUGGCACAACAGAGAAUGAAGCGGCAAGCAAACCUUGGCUGGGUGCCAUGAGGCUUAGAGUGCAGAGCGAUCCAAGGUUGACUGAUCUGUAUGGUCAGGAAACACCAUCGGCGGCAUCGAAGCGUAUCAAAAUUUCUGUUUAGGCCAUCAACUUGUAUCUGCCUGGCUUGAGUAGUGUGCCCUUUGGGUGCACACAGAAGAAGUGGAGGGGGGUAGUCCAGCGGCUUGUAAUCUGGGCAAUUUAGGCGCCAAUUUCUUUUCUAGAGCGAGGAGAAAAGAAGGGAAAGAAAGGAACACUAACGUUUUUAUAUGUUGUAUAGAGAUGUUUCUCAUAUAUCAAUGUGCUACAUCAGAAUGACUUAAGAAAGAUAGAUAUAGCGAAAAUUUGCUUGGUUUA